RNAcentral lists this ribosomal RNA (459 nucleotides) under uncultured bacterium. RNAcentral's name for it is "partial 16S ribosomal RNA". It matches the Rfam family "Bacterial small subunit ribosomal RNA", at positions 338 to 795 of the family's 1533-position model. The record is from RNAcentral.
CCUACGGGAGGCAGCAGUGAGGAAUAUUGGUCAAUGGGAGAGAUCCUGAACCAGCCAAGCCGCGUGAGGGAUGACGGCCCUAUGGGUUGUAAACCUCUUUUGUCGGGGAACAAAUCCCGGGACGUGUCCCGUACUGCGUGUAUCCGAAGAAAAAGCAUCGGCUAACUCCGUGCCAGCAGCCGCGGUAAUACGGAGGAUGCGAGCGUUAUCCGGAUUUAUUGGGGUUAAGGGGUGGGUAGGCGGUCCGUUAAGUCAGCGGUAAAAUUGCGGGGCUAAACCCAGUAGGGCAGUUGAAAGUGGCAGACUUGAGUUGGCGAGAGGUACGCGGAAUGCGCGGUGUAGCGGUGAAAUGCAUAGAGAUCGCGAAGAAUUCUGAUUGCGAAGGCAGCGUACCGGCGCCAGACUGACGCUGAGGCACGAAAGCGUGGGGAUCGAACAGGAUUAGAUACCCCUGUAGUC